CGUGUGGGAGAGGCCUUCGGGUUGUAACCACUGUCGGGAGUUAGGAAAUGCAGGUGCGUUAAUAGCGCACUUGCUUGACUAAGGCUCCAGAGGAAGCCACGGCUAACUCUGUGCCAGCAGCCGCGGUAAUACAGAGGCGGCAAGCGUUGUUCGGAAUUAUUGGGCGUAAAGAGCACGUAGGCGGCCUUGCAAGUCAGUUGUGAAAGCCUUCCGCUUAACGGAAGAACGGCAUCUGAUACUACAGGGCUUGAGUACGGGAGGGGAGAGUGGAACUUCUGGUGGAGCGGUGAAAUGCGUAGAUAUCAGAAGGAACGCCGGCGGCGAAAGCGACUCUCUGGUCCGAAACUGACGCUGAGUGUGCGAAAGCUAGGGGAGCAAACGGGAUUAGAUACCCCGGUAGUCCUAGCCGUAAACGAUGGGCACUAAGUAGAGGGGUUUUGAUUAUUUCUCUGCCGGAGCUAACGCAUUAAGUGCCCCGCCUGGGGAGUACGGCCGCAAGGCUAAAACUCAAAAGAAUUGACGGGGGCUCGCACAAGCGGUGGAGCAUGUGGCUUAAUUCGAUGCAACGCGAAGAACCUUACCGGGGCUUGACAUGGUAGAAGUAGAAUCCUGAAAGGGUGACGAUCGGUAUCCAGUCCGAAGCUAUCACAGGUGUUGCAUGGCUGUCGUCAGCUCGUGUCGUGAGACGUUGGGUUAAGUCCCCUAACGAGCGAAACCCUUGUCUUUAGUUGCUAACGGGUAAUGCUGAGCACUUUAGAGAGACUGCCGUCGUUAAGACGGAGGAAGGUGGGGACGACGUCAAGUCAUCAUGGCCCUUAUGUCCCGGGCUGCACACGUGCUACAAUGGUCGGUACAAAGGGAUGCUAAGUCGCGAGAUGGUGCGAAACCUAUAAAGCCGAUCUCAGUUCAGAUUGGAGGCUGAAACUCGCCUCCAUGAAGUUGGAAUCGCUAGUAAUCGCGGAUCAGCUACGCCGCGGUGAAUAUGUUCCCGAGCCUUGUACACACCGCCCGUCAAGCCACCCAAGCAAGAUGCACCCAAAAUCGCCUGCCUAACCCGUAAGGAGGAAGCU
Molecule: ribosomal RNA, 1070 nt
Filed under: uncultured anaerobic ammonium-oxidizing bacterium
Lineage: Bacteria
Description: bacterial SSU rRNA
Rfam family: Bacterial small subunit ribosomal RNA
Source: RNAcentral